GUACUGCCGAAGAGUCCCAUAUUAGGAGGAAACGGCUUUCCAGUAC
This is a non-coding RNA of Trichobilharzia regenti, 46 nucleotides long. NCBI's taxonomy places the organism in Eukaryota, Metazoa, Platyhelminthes, Trematoda, Strigeidida, Schistosomatidae. The record is from Rfam.